Long non-coding RNA from Aphis gossypii (cotton aphid), 6090 nucleotides. RefSeq lists it as uncharacterized. The transcript has 3 exons. The record is from RefSeq and is a predicted model, not a curated record. NCBI's taxonomy places the organism in Eukaryota, Metazoa, Arthropoda, Insecta, Hemiptera, Aphididae.
UUAUAAACUAUAAUAUGUAAAACAGUGUUGGUGGAAAGUUUUUUUAAAAUCAAAUCAUCAUUGAUGAACAGCCCGGGGAUUCUCUUACGCGCCGACGUGUAGCACGCAUAAUCCGGUGGUAUAUUAGAGGUAUCUGUACGGUUCAUCAAGUUUGGGUUGCCCUCCAAGUCUCUGUAAAAGUCGUCCGUCGACACUCGAUACAGGUGGGAAUAUGUGAAGUGUAAUAAAAAUAAAACAUUUUUAUAUUAAGUGGUAUACACACCAGUGUCGAUGUACAGCAAAGUAAUCUUAUCAACAUAAUGACGUUUCAUGACGCUAUAGUAAUAAUCAUACAUGAGUGUCUUGCUCCACUCAAGGACUGCAAACUCGAUGCAAAUCGGUUUACAGAAAUCGAUCUCUUUGUUGUGCAUAGAUACUGAUGCAAGACUUUCACUAUAAGUGGUACACUGCUUAAACGUGGGACGGUUAGUGAGCUUUCGCAUCCUCUAGAGGCAUGAAACAAGCUUCAUAUCAAAACAAUUUCGGACAUAUUUCAUUGUUAUACCUUUUUAAUGGUAUUAAUCCUUAAAUCAUUUCACGAAAUUAAUAAUAAUAAUAAUAAUAAAACGCUAUUAUUUUGGGCUUUAAAAAAUUUUUCUUCAAACUCAUUCGUCACCCAUUUACGCAUCUCAGUGUUCAACGCGAUUUAUGGUGCCAACCAAAGAGAUUGUCUAAACUCUAAUACUCUGUACACCUGAAACGCAUGAAUAAUUUUUUGUAGAAAAAGAGUAAUGUAUAGUAUAUUAUAUAUAUAUAUAUAUUAUAAUUUAUAAUAAAUGUUACCUUAUCGACGAUCAGAUCGUUGGCGAUGGCCUGUUUUAGAUUUGAGUAAUGCACGACGUAGUAGUGCACUUUCCGCUCGAACGUAUCCAUCAACUUUCGGACGGUAGACCCGCGUGGAAUGCUGGUGUGUGGUAAGAACGGUAUAUCAUUGUGUUCGUCGUGCAGAUGACGCGGAUACGAAAUAUCGACUUCGUAGAAUCGUUCCACGUCAUCCGUAUCCGACAUCCACUCCAGCUGAGCCAACGCGAUGUUCGGAUUUCCCGCGUACCACGAGAAAUCACCGUACGGCAUAUUAAAUUUGCUCAUGGCCCAUCCGUAAAGAUUGUUGCCUUCGGAAAAAAUUAAUUAAUUAAUACACAUACAUAAUAUAUUAAUAUCAUUAAUAUUAUUGUAUAAUUACAAUCUUAAUAUACGAGCCACGUAUUCGGCUCUUCGGAUUUGUAUCCAGGCGUCUUCGGGUUAUUGGCCUCGACGUGACGCCCGUUCACCUGUACCAGCCCGCCUCGAAUUCCAAGCUCAAAAAAUAAUAUUUGAUCGUAAUCAGUUAGAAGUUCUAAUUUGACCGACUUGAAUUUCAGCAUACAGUCAAAACUGAACCCGGGCGCCGUAUAAUAAUACGCCGGGUCCAGCUGGUACGUCGACAUAAAUAUGUCGCGGAAAUGCUCAAACACGUCGGCGCUUAGCAGUACGUCGAUUUCGAGGUAUACAUCGCUAUAACCACCAAGAGUCUGACACUCAAAACGAUUCCAUACCAGGGUGUCAUGUUCAUAAUCGGCAUCACUCACGUGCGUCUCGGUCAACGCACUGUAGAGCUCCCUCCUUGCUGACAGCUCUGUCUCGCGUAAUUUUGAGUAGGAAUCCGUGUACUCAUACGCAAAAACGCCUUUGCGCGUCACCAGUGGCAUCUCCGUCGGAGUGAACACUUUUGCGACUUCGCGAAACUUGCAAAAGUCUGCGGUCGUAAAGUUCCGCGCCAAGUUAGCCGAAUUCGACGACAUGAACCGGCAUAUAUCGAUAAAUCUAACAGCGAACUCGUUAUUGAUAUAUUUCGAAUACGAAAUAUACUUUUCCUCGCUGUUAUGUAUCACCGAUAUCGUAUCGGUAGUUAUCAUACCCCAAUUCGGUAAUGAUGAAAUGAGCGUCGUAAUUCGACAGAUUAUGUAAAUAGCACGGGACGAACUUCGGCGUUCGUAAUUUAAGAUUGCACGCGCUACACAGAGUUUUAAGAAAACGACCGGACAGGUGAUCGUGAUGUGCGACCUUGUGGUUACUCGCGAUAAACGUUUUCGCGCACAAGUCACACGCAGCUUACCUCCGUGAGCGCGAGCAUCCUCAACAGACAUCGACAUCGGUACGUUGAUCGUCUUGAGCAAUUUACAUAUUCUGUCUGCCACAUCGGUGACGGUCAGGACAAAUCGUUUGGCCACAUCGUCGGCGAACUCAGAGCCGCGAAAAACGAUGGGGGCCCGCGGGAUAUCAAACUAUUCGAGCAGCUCCACCGGUACACCGUCCGCAGCUACCACCAAAAACCCGUAACUCAUCGGAUGAUGCGAGUGCAGCGUGGUGGUAUUGUUGCGUGCUAGUAUCAGAUUUAAAUCCAGAUGGUUAUUUUGAACGAAAGUUAAACUCAUUAGCGAAAUAUGUCUUUAUUGCGUAUAAAUGAAAUACAUGUAACAAACAAAAUAAGUGGCUGAGUGUCAUGAAAAUGCUCAGUUGUUGAUAGCUUUGGUACAUCUGCCGUUGCUGGUCUUCGGGCUCCCUUAUAUAUUGUGGUGCGUCUCUUGUUUACGUCAAGUCGUCGUCUUCUGGGUGAAACCAGGUGUCCUUGUAGUUGUUUUUUCAAAUUCGGACAAAAAUUUGAUAAUGUGCAAUAACAUCUCAAAUGCAUCAUUAGUGCACUAUAAUUAUUGGUGGGCUUAUUAUCCCGACAUGUGUCAUGGUCAUAGUAGCAUCUGCAUCAUCCUCGACACGAGGUAUGGUCAUACUAACUUAGCCUUGAUAUCUCGUAGAUAUCUCGUAGCCCAUAACAGUAUUUACUCCGUAGCGCUGCAUCGUUUUCGGCAGAAGAGCCUCGAAGUCGGCGUCCAAAACUUCUCAAAACAAAAAAAUUUACACAAUUCAGCUCAAAAUCGCGCAUUUAAAACUUCGGGCCGCGAAUUAUACGGGCACAGUAAUGUCGAACGUUUUUUAAUCACGAUUUCGCAGCGCUCCAGGCCGAAGAGGAUUGUUACGCCGGAAAGUAUAGUGAAUUUUCCUUAUCGUGUAUCGACGGACUGCUCUUGGGUGUGUACGAGUACACGCCUAUGGGGGGAUCGUCGUACUUACCGUUGCCGGAAAGUAUUUUGAAUAGGAAGGCCGUUGUCAACCCACAAAAUAUUGACCAGCAAUUUUUCAAGUGGGUGAUCCUCGCCAAACAUGUAUUUAACGAUCGCACAAGAGUAGGUACGAUUUAUUCGAGGGAAGAACACCGAUACGACUUUUCUGCACUAUCAACCCCCACUCCGGUGUCUGAGAUAAAGGUAUUUGAAAAUUCGAAUCCCGGCACGACCAUUAAUGUAUACGGCGUAAGAAAAUGCGUAAAAAAUAAAAAUAAAAAUAAUAAAAAGUCGUCCACACAAUCUGUCGCGUACCCUCUGCGAAUCGUGGAUGAAGAAAAGGAGAAUCAUUUUGACCUGCUACUGAUUACCGGAAAGGAUGACAAGAAUCAUUACGCGAUCAUUUCUAAUUUUUUACGCCUAGCCAGUUCUCAAAAAAAUAAUCACCAACAUCGAUUACUUUACUGCAAACGGUACUUCGCCAGUUUUGAGGACCGCCCAUUAAAAUAUAAAUUACACGGAGAGAAGGCACUGGCCAACCACCGUUUACUGUGCGGCUCACACAAACCGGUUGUUAGGAAGGAGACACGCUCAAAUUCGAGGCGUGGUGUAAAACGGGUCGCCUGCUGUUCGUGGUAUACGCUGACUUUGAAGCCCCACUACUGAAAACGGGGUGAAAACAAGGUGAAAAUACCACUGCGAUACACGAACACCAUCCAAUGAGCUACGGGUACCAUGUUGUCGCGGCAGAGGGGGUGCCGACAGAGUUGCUCGACCAGUUCAACAUACCUCGAGCUCCAGUCAUUUUCCGUGGUUUAGCUACUCAGGACGAUGUUGCCAAACGCUUUGUCAGCAACGUACUCGGCGUGAUCAAAAAGAUAGCAAGAUUAUAUAAGGAAGUAAAUGUACCGAUUAUUAUGAGUGUUGAGGAUUGUCACGUGUAUGACGUCAAGACAAUGUGUGAAUUAUGAAGUUGUACGUUUAGCGAACGCAAUUGUAAAACUGCACACCACGACCACUUUUCGGGACGUUUUCUAAAAACAUUAUGCAACACGUGCAACCUUGUGUUGAAAACACCGAAUUUUAUACUGUGCUAUCUGCAUAAUCUGUCCAACUACGACGCCGCCCAUUUUAUCGUGACGAAUUUGGCGUGCGACGGCGACAAUAAUCGAAUAUCGGUAAUAGCGAACACCGAGGAGAAAUAUAUUUCGCUCUCGAAGUAUAUUAACAACUCGUUCUCCGUCAGGUUUGUAGACACGUGUUGAUUCAUGACGUCGAGCUUGGCGCACUUGGCGGAGAACUUCAGCUCCGCGAACUUUGAUAAGUUUCGCGAAGUCGCGAAAGUGUUCGCCCCGUUGUCGUUGGUACACGGAAAGGCGUUUAUCCGUACGAAUAUACGGAUUCGUGGGAUAAAUUGGACGCUACGUACCGGAUAAGUUCCAAUUCUACAGCGCGUUGAUGGAGACGCACGUGAGCGACGAGGAUUAUAGUCACGCGACCAGGGUCUGGAAUCAUUUCGGCUGCACCUCACUCGGCGCUUAUAGCGAUUUAUACCUUAAAGUCGACGUGUUGUUAAGCGCUGACGUGUUCGAGAAUUUCAGGGAUAUAUGUAUGGCCACAUAUUACCUCGACCCCGCACAUUACUUCACGUUUUGACUGUAUGCUAUACUUUACGAAAGUUCAACUUGAACUUUUGAUCGAUUAUGAGAAAAUUCUCUUCAUAGGGUUAGGCAUGAGGGGUGGCCUGGUGCAGGCCAGCAAGCGUCACACGCGUGCCAACAAUCCUGAGACACCGGGAUACAAUACCGAAGAACCUGACACGUCGCUCAUAUACUUAGAUGCAAACAAUUUGUACGGGUACGCGAUGUGUCAGUAUAUGCCGAUUGGAGAUUUCGUAUGGUACACGGGGAAUCAGGAGGUCGCGCUGGCCCAGUUAGAUGCGCGCGAUGGACGAUGUGGGUAGAUUUUACGAAGUGGAUAUAAUAUACCCGGAGGAUCUACGCGACGCCCACAACGAUAUGCCGUUUUUGCCUCACGACAACAUUCCGCACGGGUUGACUGUCCGAAAGUUGAUGGUCACAUUUCUGCGGAAAGAACACUACGUGUACGAAACAACAUUACGGAGAUAAGAUCGAGCUGCUUUAUACCGAUACUAUUUACUAUUCUACCGCGUGAUGACCAACGAUUUCUUUGCUGACCUGAUAAAAAAUCCUAAUUUGAUGCGGUUUAUGGACACCUCAAAUUUCGCACACGAUCACAAGUGCUAUACAAAUGCUCGGAAGCGCAUUCCAGGACUUUUUGAAUUCGAGUGUGGCUCCAGAACCGUUUACGAAUUUGUAGCUUUGCGCUCCAAGUCUUAUGCGAACGACGUGGAAGAGGAGAUUACCAUUCGCGCGAAGGGUGUUAUGAGGCACGUGAAUCGUAAUCACCUCACUUUCGCCGACCAUAAGCGGUGCUUAUUCGUUGACGUGGACGACAAUACAGAAUCCAACGAGUGUGACAAUGAGUUCGACGCAAAUAUGGAGAAAAUGAGCGCACCCGAUUCCGCACUGAAAGCUGUCGCACAAGCUGUCGAUAUUGUUAUUAAAUAAUACAAACCUUAUAAAAUAUUUAAUAAAAUAUUUAUUUUUUUCAAAAACCAUCUCAUCUUAACGAGAAUAAUUAUACAUGUUAAAUGUAUAUAAUUAUAUUAUACGUCUCCUAAAUUCGUAUACACAAAUGCCGACUAUUAAAUAAUAAAACCUUAUAAAUAUAAAAUAUUUCACCAUCUCGUAUUUGCGAGGAUAAACCUUAUAAUAAUUAUUAAAUAAUAUAUUUUUUAAAACCAACUCAUUGCUUGGACAAAAUAAUUAUAUAACUUGUUAAAUGUAUAUAAUUAUAUUAUAUGUCCCUUAAAACUAUAGGAUCUAGAUAAAAUGAAAAUAAAAACAUAUUUUUAAUUUUUUUUUAUUAA